GAGUGCCGUCCGCUGAGGAUGGCUUUUCUCCGCUGUAAGGAGGCGGAGGAAUAAGGAGAGGGCAAGACUGGUGUCAGCCGCCGCGGUAAUACCAGCUCUCCGAGUGGUAGGGGUGAUUAUUGGGCUUAAAGCGUCCGUAGCCGGCCUGGCAAGUCUUCCGUUAAAUCCAGCAACCUAAUUGUUGGGCUGCGGGGGAUACUGUUAGGCUUGGGGGCGGGAGAGGCCGACGGUAUUCUCGGGGUAGGGGUGAAAUCUUAUAAUCCCGAGAGGACCACCAGUGGCGAAGGCUGUCGGCUAGCACGCGCCUGACGGUGAGGGACGAAAGCUGGGGGAGCGAACCGGAUUAGAUACCCGGGUAGUCCCUGCUGUAAACGAUGCGAGCUAGGUGUUGGGGCGGCUACAAGCCGCUUCAGUGCCGCAGCGAAGGCGUUAAGCUCGCCGCCUGGGGAGUACGGCCGCAAGGCUGAAACUUAAAGGAAU
RNAcentral lists this ribosomal RNA (480 nucleotides) under uncultured bacterium. Its description in RNAcentral is "bacterial SSU rRNA". It matches the Rfam family "Archaeal small subunit ribosomal RNA", at positions 383 to 865 of the family's 1478-position model. The record is from RNAcentral.